CGCGGGGUGGAGCAGCCCGGUAGCUCGUCAGGCUCAUAACCUGAAGGUCGCAAGUUCAAAUCUUGCCCCCGCAACCA
RNAcentral lists this transfer RNA (77 nucleotides) under Bradyrhizobium sp. RNAcentral's name for it is "tRNA-Met". It matches the Rfam family "tRNA". Rfam says of the family: Transfer RNA (tRNA) molecules are approximately 80 nucleotides in length. Their secondary structure includes four short double-helical elements and three loops (D, anti-codon, and T loops). The record is from RNAcentral. RNAcentral also lists the same sequence under 67 other names. Lineage: Bacteria; Pseudomonadati; Pseudomonadota; Alphaproteobacteria; Hyphomicrobiales; Nitrobacteraceae.